Molecule: long non-coding RNA, 2677 nt
Filed under: Homo sapiens (human)
Lineage: Eukaryota; Metazoa; Chordata; Mammalia; Primates; Hominidae
Description: HSALNT0370817
Source: RNAcentral
AUCACAGGGAUUGCCUACCCCAACUCCUGCCCCACCUGCUCAGGCAGGUCCCAUUGUGCCUCAAGGAUAAGCCCAUGGUGAACUUCCAAGGGUACGCCAUCCAGGGAAGGCCAACAGAAGCCACUAGUCAAGUGGCUUGACUAGUUCAAGACAAGCAGAUCUCCAGGCAUCUGUUUUCAUCUUGUUAACCUUCUCACUAGAGAAGAGUUUGAAUUGCUGCCUCUCUGGGUGUGUGGAGAUAGCCACUGGAUUGUGAGCCAGAGAGGACAGGGACUGGGGCUUUUUGUUUUUCCUCCAAAUCUCCCAACACGAGUACAUUGUAGGUGCCCAUUGAGUGCUUGCUGAAUGGAGGAAUGGUUAGCUACUGCCUCCUACUUCUCGUUGCAGGACAUCAAUAUCUUUCUAAAAUCAUAGUAAUGUGAAGGCUAUCCAGAAAGUCAAAAGGUUCCACAGAGUUGGCCACAAAACAGAGUAGCCCCCUGCCCUCUGCUUUAUUUCCCCCUCCCAGAGAUUAUUUUAUCUCUUUUGGCUGAUUAUUUUAUCUCUUUUAGCUGAUUAUUUUGGUAUCUAGUAUCUAUUUCUAAAUAGGCUGCUUAUUAUUAAAGCUAGAUAUUUCAGUUCCAGGCGUUAUCUACUAAAUUCCCACUGUGGGGUCAUCCUUCGCUCUCCCAAUGUAGUUAUUUCAGGAUUUUCGUUAGGUCAGUAUUCAACGUUUAUGUUAUUAUGACUAUGUAAAUGCUAGUUGCAGCUGAGCCGUGUUGUACACUAUGAUUGCUUUAUCUUUCCUUGACAGCUUUUCCCCCCGGGAGUUAAUAACUGUCUUUUUUUUUCUUUUUGUUGUUUGCUUAGUUUUCUGUGUACUUAUUACUAAUUCGACCUUAAACUCUUCACCAAGUGCCCAAAUUCUCCCCCUAAGGCAUUCUGAUGCACCAGGAAUUCCAGCAAUUUUGUUACCUUGAAAAAUCUUCCUUCUUGAGGACCCCAAUUUGCUCUGCACUGGACUGGUUCCUCCUGGCGUGGCACACAGCUGUCACUCUGGAGUUCCUGCAUCACCAUGCUAGAGCUCCCUUAUCCCUUCUUUGGGUUUGAAUCUUUCAUUUUUUGUCUUCCUGUUUCUUCCUGUUUGUCUUCCUGUUUCUCUACUUUACUCGCCCAUUUUGUUAAAGCACAUUUCCAGCCACUUCCCAAGCAGGGUUGAAAAGACUUUCAUUCUGUUCUUCUAAGUACUUGGCACUUAAAGUAUAUUUUAACCACCCCACCCGUUCCUUCAUUUUCAUUUCAUUUCCUCGUGCUGUUCAUUCAUUAUUGUUGGCAUUCUCCACUGUCAGUCUUAAGACGCAGAUGUUUGCAUGUCUGUGUUAAUCUACUUUCCAUCCACUAAAAUUUGGUUGUUUCUUCUGCAAUGCCCUUUAUUUUGGUGGGUUUAAUUCUAGUCUGGACAUUUUUCUUCAAGAUUUUGAAGACAUUGUUUUAUUGCUUUUAGCUUCCAAUGUUGCCCUUGAGAAGUCAGAAUUAUUCUGACUAUUGAUUCUUCUAGAUGACUUCUUAACAUCUCUGGAAGCUUAUAGCAUUCUCAGUGUUUUGAAGUUUCAUGAUGAUGGGCCUUGGUGUGGGCCCACUAUGUUAAGCUGUUAGGAGGUCUUUCUUUCUUUUUAUCAUCUGGGGAGAAUCAGUGCUUAUGAGGGUUUUUCAAUUCUGAAAAUGUAUGCCCUUAUAUUCUGGGGGAGAAAUAUAUAUAUAAUGUGAUAGUCAGCCUCCAAAUGGCUUCCAGUGAUCCUGUCUCUGGUAGUCACACCCUUGUGCAGUUUACCCUUGUACUGGACCAGGGUUGAUCUCUGUGACCAAUAGCCUACAGCAGAAAUGAUAGUAUGUCACUUCUGAGAUUGGGGUAUGAAAGAUAGUGCAGUCUUGGAUCACUUGCUUUGGGAAAUGCCAGCGACCAUGUUGACCAGCCUUAUGGGAGGCCCGUGUGGCAAGAAACUGAGGACUCCUGCCAAUAUCCAGCUGGUAACUGAGGCUUCUUGAAGCCCUGUGAGUGAGUCACUUUGAAAGUGGAUUCUGUAGCUCCAUUCAAGCCUUCAGAUGAAACUGCAGCCCUUGCCAACAACGUGACUGCAACUUCACGGGAGACCCUGAGCCAGAACUAUCCUAUUAGGCUGCUCCCAGAUUCCUGACCCUCAGAAAUUGGGCUCAGAUGUGAGAUCUCAGAAUCCUUUUCCAUGCAUGUUCCUGGAAGCCACUGAGAAUUGACUGGGAAGUGGGGAGCACACCAGAUGAAACAUACACGCCAUUUCUGGUUGGGUCUUUUAUCCCCAGCCUCAGUUGAACAGGCUUCAGUUCACAUCGUUUUAGCCAAAACUCAUCUAUGCACGGUCUUUUCAGAACAGAUUAGGGUAGAAUUUUGUGGUUUUUUUUGUGACGAAAAUAACCUUAGUAAUUUUGUUUUUGUUUUGGUAACUCAGGACAACUCACACCCCCUGGUUGUCUUGAUUUUUUAUUUAAAUGCUGAGUUUAAGUGCUUGUGCAGUUGGUUUCUUGAACUGAACAGCACACUUUAUGUUUAUUCUAUUGCAUGUCAUUGUCUUUUUAUUCUAAGCAAGAGGUCAGCAAAUUAUGGCCCACAGGCCAAAUCUGGCUCACCCUCUGUUUUUGUAAAUAAAGUUUUAUUGGAACACAG